Molecule: unclassified non-coding RNA, 253 nt
Filed under: uncultured delta proteobacterium
Lineage: Bacteria; Deltaproteobacteria
Description: contains 16S-23S intergenic spacer region
Rfam family: Bacterial small subunit ribosomal RNA
Source: RNAcentral
UACGGAGGGUGCAAGCGUUAAUCGGAAUUACUGGGCGUAAAGGGCGCGCAGGCGGCCAGUUAAGUCUGGUGUGAAAGCCCUCGGCUCAACCGAGGAAGUGCAUUGGAUACUGAUUGGCUUGAGUACGGGAGGGGAGAGCGGAAUUCCCGGUGUAGCGGUGAAAUGCGUAGAUAUCGGGAGGAACAUCGGUGGCGAAGGCGGCUCUCUGGACCGUUACUGACGCUGAGGCGCGAAAGCGUGGGGAGCAAACGGG